RNAcentral lists this long non-coding RNA (1689 nucleotides) under Prunus persica (peach). RNAcentral describes it as "long non-coding RNA (PPER_LNC006807)". The record is from RNAcentral. Lineage: Eukaryota; Viridiplantae; Streptophyta; Magnoliopsida; Rosales; Rosaceae.
UCUCUCUCGGAAAAGUUGAAAUUUCGAUUGAGGCUGGAUAAUUCACAGCGGAUCCAAAUUCUGAGGCUGAGGGGGGUUUUUCAUUUUCCUUGUCUUCUUGUUUUCCUCCUUGGGUAGAUGGGUUCCGAAGAGAAGAAGAAGAAGAAGAUAAUCGACUGGCGAUGGGAGAUUUGAGGUUUAGAGAUGGAUGCCCAGAAAGAAAGAAGAGAUCAGAAAGGCCAAACGGUGGGCAAUGAAAGAAAGAAACAAGGAACGAAUGAUGUGCCUUAUUUUUAUGGAAGAAGAAAAGACAGAAAGAACCAACUCAUAAGAUGAGAGGGCUGGCUGACGGAGAUGGUGGGGUACCGUACAGAACAGAGGUAACGGCGGUGGUGUCGGGAGGGAGGCUGUAGCUGCUAGGGGGAGAGCAUGGAGGUUGGGUGGGUUUUGUUUUUUAAUUUUUAUGUUGGUACUACCAAGUUCUCCAGGUAGCGCUGCGCAUCUAUGGUUCUCUUUUUUUUUUUAAUGUUUUAAAUGUGCCUUACUUAAUAUUUGAACCCUAAAGUAAAUAUCAUACCAAUCAAAAACUUAAAUAGUAUGAUACGAUGUCAUCCAGAGCCGCGCCAAAUAUAGUAAAAUUUAGGGGGUGUAUUCAUUUAGGAUUGUAUAAGAUUUUGAAAGAUUUUUUAUAUGUGACAGAUGUCCUGGAAUUGUAUAACUCCUAUAGGUUUUACUCGGAUUUUUAAUAAACUUGUAUAAACUUUUAUUAUACACUUCCAUACUUUUGUAUGAACUUUUGUUAUAGAUUCCGAUUAAUUUGCAUAGACUUUAUCACUCUUUCAUCCUAACACUAUUUUCUUUACCUAGCCACUAGUUGACCAUCCCUUUUUCUUUUUUUCCAAAUUCUUCCUCUACUUGCGUGCACAACAAUGAAUUUCCCUUUGAAAUUUCCACGAGCUGGAACCUAACCAAUUCCUCUCUUUUUGUUGCUGCUUGAGCAUUCUCACGCUCUCUCUUUGCUUUCUCAUAGGCCUGCUGAACCACGCUUGUAGCUUGGGUAGUCGUAGAAGCACCGAAUGCUUUCGAGAAUGGACCCAACUGAAAGCUGUUUUGGUUAUAUGAUUCAGGUGCGUUGAAACUUGCAGAGGUGGCAUUACUCCUCCCUGUAUUAAAUGUGUUUUUAUUAGCUGUUUCAUGCUUUGGAGUCUGCCGUUGUUGUGAGGAAUUCCAUGCAGUGGCUGACUUGGAACCAUUCAUAGGUCGUGGAACUAUUUCUACAUCAAGAAAUGGUUCAUGGCAAUUAGGGCAAAGAAGAUUAUGAUUAAGAUAAAUUCUAAGACACUCAUAUUGCAUUUUGCAUUUAUGACACACAAUCCAAAAGGUACUAGGCCUUGCUUUAUGACAAGAAGCAGGAGUUGAAAAAACGGCUAGCUCGUGUGGUACCUUUCUGAGUCUUUGUGCCAGACGUACUUUUUAUUAUAAAUUCAUAUCAAUUUGUCUUCACAAAAGUAUAGUGAAUAUUAUAAGAAAUUCAAAGACACCCACCACAAAUUCACGAAAAGCAGAUACUAUAAGAAAUUCAAAGUAACUAGCGUUCACGAAAGUAUAAUGACAAAUUUAUAACCAAUUUGAAAGCAAUGCUGAAAGAAAAAUAUGCAACAUUCAUUUGUUAUCGUUAAUUCUCAUUGUUGUCAUUGUGGCCAAUAUCUC